Zea mays is the source of this 1001-nucleotide long non-coding RNA. RefSeq lists it as uncharacterized. Lineage: Eukaryota; Viridiplantae; Streptophyta; Magnoliopsida; Poales; Poaceae. The transcript has 2 exons. The record is from RefSeq and is a predicted model, not a curated record.
AGACAGACCACGACGCCGACGGCAGCUGCAGCCAGUAGCAGAUGCUGCUAGAGAGGCAGCAGCCUUCCAUGUGAGUCACCGAGUCCCCAUCAGGGGCCGGCCAGCGAACCUAGCGAGGCUGGUGGAUCACGCGAGGAGCGCUGCUCUUGGGGCUGCCGGCGUACUUGGUCGGCUUCUCGGAGUGCCUGGGUUUCUCCCGGAACCCCCGCGGGGCGUCGCCGCUCUUCGGGGAACCCAAGUUCAGCGCCUUGAGCACCGAAUCUGGCGGAGGAAAAGCACACCAACGUACGCGGAAGCUUGUUCUCCAUCGAACAGGGACGGGUGGAACACGACGGCGCCGGCGUUCGCAGACACUUGUGCAGAACAUGAGAAAUCAUGCAUUUAAAUUAAUCCAGGCAGUCAGGCUUUCAAGUUGCCUAGCAUAUCAAUAUUUCAAGGUGCUAUAGCAAGGGUGAAGACGUGAAAGUCAGCACUUAAUAUUAAUAUAAUAGUUUCAUCAUGAGAUGAACUUCUGUUAUACUGUAUUUUUAGCCUUUUCCCAUAUAAUGUAGCAUAUAUUAUGCAAAAAAAAAGAGAAAUAUUCAUUUGCAUGCAUAUAAAAGCACAUAGUACAGUGUAGUAUGGAGUCCAUCAAAGUUGCAGUUGACGCCAGAUGCCCAUUUCAAGAAUGAUCUUGGCCUAGACAGUUUGGACGCGGUGGAGCUUGUCAUGGACUUGGAAGAUGAAUUCAGAUUCGAGAUACCUGACAAUGAAGCUGAUGACAAGAUGGACACCAUCAAAGUUGCAGUUAACUUCAUUGCCUCACACCCGCAAGCGAAAUGAUAAGACGCAUCGCCUGCAGUAAACCUAUAUCGUUCAUUAACCUCUGUCCGUGAAGAAAGAUCGGCUUGAAGAUGUACACUACCGUGACCAUUUAUUUGGAUACUUCUCCUGACGCUUACUCUCCUUUCUGGAACGAUUCUUUUUUUAUUGUCUGCACGAAACAAAAUGUUUGAGCCUGA